UACGUAGGGUGCGAGCGUUGUCCGGAUUUAUUGGGCGUAAAGGGCUCGUAGGCGGCCUGUCGCGUCGGGAGUGAAAGCCCACUGCUUAACGGUGGGUCUGCUUCCGGUACGGGCGGGCUAGAGUAUGGCAGGGGAGACUGGAAUUCCUGGUGUAGCGGUGAAAUGCGCAGAUAUCAGGAGGAACACCGGUGGCGAAGGCGGGUCUCUGGGCCGAUAUUGACGCUGAGGAGCGAAAGCGUGGGGAGCGAACAGG
RNAcentral lists this ribosomal RNA (253 nucleotides) under uncultured bacterium. RNAcentral's name for it is "partial 16S ribosomal RNA". It matches the Rfam family "Bacterial small subunit ribosomal RNA", at positions 524 to 776 of the family's 1533-position model. The record is from RNAcentral.